GUACUGAGACACGGACCCGACUCCUACGGGAGGCAGCAGUAAGGAAUAUUGGUCAAUGGGCGAAAGCCUGAACCAGCCAUGCCGCGUGAAGGAUGAAGGCGUUAUGCGUUGUAAACUUCUUUUGUAUAGGAAGAAUGGUCGGGAUUCAUCCCGAAAGCGACGGUACUAUACGAAUAAGCACCGGCUAACUCCGUGCCAGCAGCCGCGGUAAUACGGAGGGUGCGAGCGUUAUCCGGAAUCACUGGGUUUAAAGGGUACGUAGGCGGUUAAUUAAGUCAGCAGUGAAAGCCUGUCGCUCAACGACGGAUGUGCUGUUGAAACUGGUUAACUUGAAAUGGGUUAGGGUUGGCGGAAUGGGUCAUGUAGCGGUGAAAUGCUUAGAUAUGACUUGGAACACCGAAAGCGAAGGCAGCUGACCGAACCUUGUUUGACGCUGAGGUACGAAAGUGUGGGUAGCGAACAGGAUUAGAUACCCUGGUAGUCCACACCCUAGACUAUGCAGACUGGAUGUUGGGCGGCAAUAGUUCAGCAUCUGAGGGAAACCAUUAAGUCUGCCACCUGGGGAGUACGCCGGCAACGGUGAGACUCAAAGGAAUUGACGGGGGUCCGCACAAGCGGUGGAGUAUGUGGUUUAAUUCGAUGAUACGCGAGGAACCUUACCUGGGCUCGAAUGUUACCGCUAACCUGUUGAAAG
This 694-nucleotide ribosomal RNA is filed under the name Candidatus Magnispira bakii. RNAcentral describes it as "bacterial SSU rRNA". It matches the Rfam family "Bacterial small subunit ribosomal RNA", at positions 316 to 1007 of the family's 1533-position model. Lineage: Bacteria; Pseudomonadati; Bacteroidota; Cytophagia; Cytophagales; Cytophagaceae. The record is from RNAcentral.